RNAcentral lists this ribosomal RNA (700 nucleotides) under Actinomycetes bacterium. RNAcentral describes it as "bacterial SSU rRNA". It matches the Rfam family "Bacterial small subunit ribosomal RNA", at positions 106 to 819 of the family's 1533-position model. The record is from RNAcentral. Lineage: Bacteria; Bacillati; Actinomycetota; Actinomycetes.
GUGAGUAACACGUGAGUAACCUGCCCCUGACUCUGGGAUAAGCGUUGGAAACGACGUCUAAUACUGGAUAUGAUCACUGGCCGCAUGGUCUGGUGGUGGAAAGAUUUUUUGGUUGGGGAUGGACUCGCGGCCUAUCAGCUUGUUGGUGAGGUAAUGGCUCACCAAGGCGACGACGGGUAGCCGGCCUGAGAGGGUGACCGGCCACACUGGGACUGAGACACGGCCCAGACUCCUACGGGAGGCAGCAGUGGGGAAUAUUGCACAAUGGGCGAAAGCCUGAUGCAGCAACGCCGCGUGAGGGAUGACGGCCUUCGGGUUGUAAACCUCUUUUAGUAGGGAAGAAGCGAGAGUGACGGUACCUGCAGAAAAAGCACCGGCUAACUACGUGCCAGCAGCCGCGGUAAUACGUAGGGUGCAAGCGUUGUCCGGAAUUAUUGGGCGUAAAGAGCUCGUAGGCGGUUUGUCGCGUCUGCUGUGAAAUCCCGAGGCUCAACCUCGGGCUUGCAGUGGGUACGGGCAGACUAGAGUGCGGUAGGGGAGAUUGGAAUUCCUGGUGUAGCGGUGGAAUGCGCAGAUAUCAGGAGGAACACCGAUGGCGAAGGCAGAUCUCUGGGCCGUAACUGACGCUGAGGAGCGAAAGCAUGGGGAGCGAACAGGAUUAGAUACCCUGGUAGUCCAUGCCGUAAACGUUGGGCGCUAG